RNAcentral lists this transfer RNA (67 nucleotides) under Marmota monax (woodchuck). RNAcentral describes it as "tRNA.Ala". The record is from RNAcentral. Lineage: Eukaryota; Metazoa; Chordata; Mammalia; Rodentia; Sciuridae.
GGUUGUAGCUCAGUGGUAGAGUGCUUGCUUAGCAUGUGUGAGGCCUUGGGUUUGAUUCUCAGCACUG